RNAcentral lists this ribosomal RNA (479 nucleotides) under uncultured bacterium. RNAcentral's name for it is "partial 16S ribosomal RNA". It matches the Rfam family "Bacterial small subunit ribosomal RNA", at positions 28 to 507 of the family's 1533-position model. The record is from RNAcentral.
GAUGAACGCUAGCGGGAGGCCUAACACAUGCAAGCCGAGCGGUAGAGUCUCUUCGGAGCCUUGAGAGCGGCGCACGGGUGCGGAACACGUGUGCAACCUGCCUUUAUCUGGGGGAUAGCCUUUCGAAAGGAAGAUUAAUACCCCAUAAUAUACUGGAUGGCAUCAUCUGGUAUUGAAAACUCCGGUGGAUAGAGAUGGGCACGCGCAAGAUUAGAUAGUUGGUGAGGUAACGGCUCACCAAGUCAGCGAUCUUUAGGGGGCCUGAGAGGGUGAUCCCCCACACUGGUACUGAGACACGGACCAGACUCCUACGGGAGGCAGCAGUGAGGUAUAUUGGACAAUGGGUGAGAGCCUGAUCCAGCCAUCCCGCGUGAAGGACGACGGCCCUAUGGGUUGUAAACUUCUUUUGUAUAGGGAUAAACCUAGAUACGUGUAUCUAGCUGAAGGUACUAUACGAAUAAGCACCGGCUAACUCCGUG